This is a long non-coding RNA of Astatotilapia calliptera (eastern happy), 3258 nucleotides long. Lineage: Eukaryota; Metazoa; Chordata; Actinopteri; Cichliformes; Cichlidae. The record is from Ensembl.
AUGUUCCAGUCGCUUAUAAAAACGAAGCAUAACUCACAUAACUAGUAUUAUGCGCUACUAAAAAAAUGCAAGCAACAUAAGUUAGGCAGUAAACAUUAAUAUUUGGUGAUCGCGAAAGGAAAAACAAGUUUUGCAGACGACCCCGCCUCCCUGUCGCGGUGCUCAGACUGUUAAAUUGUAUCCAAAUAGUAGAGAAGGAGCAAAAACACUGUGGUUAAAAUGUCUAGGAGGAUAAUAGUAUUUCACCAACCUUUGUACUUUUGGCGUUGCAGCAGGUCUAUAUAUAUAAAGUUGCUGAUGAUCCCUCUCGUGGAGGAGACUGCUUGUUAAACCGCUCGAAGUGCGCACAGCAGAGAGGAGCUGAGCCCUGCACAGACUGCUGAGGCGCACAUUCUCCGCGUCCACGGCGCGCGCUCCAGCGCGAAACCACUUAACUUCCUGAACCAGAUUGGCUUCGUUGCCUUUUCUCGGUUACUAAACAGUAGUGAGGAUGUGGCCUGAGCAGAGAGCCCAAUGUGCUGUGAGGAGUCCCGCGUGUCACGUUCGUGGGAUCUUUCUGCUUCUCCUGCUUGUCAUGGUUCAGAUGAUAAUCUCCUUGGUGCCUUUUGAUGGUGUGUUCAUUCGCUCUGAUAAAGUCCUCAUCAGCCCCUACAGAUUCUGUCAGAUCCAACAAACUGGUGAAUGGUCCUGUGAUAAUGUGUAUAAGAGUCACCUGUACGAGCGAUCGCAAUCCCAAGGAGCUGAAGCUGAGACUUUAUCUAAGCCACAUUCUAACUCUGUCAGAGUAGCGGUUUACCUAGCUGUGUAUGUUCCAGUGAUUAUUGUGGCGUUUGCCCUGAUGGGCAUGCAUUCAGUCAUCUCUGACAAAGACGAACCUGCUAUCUUUUGCAGCACGACUUUCCAGGUCGGAGCAGCCUUGCUCACCCUGGCUGGCCUUUUCAGUUUUUUGUUUGUCUAUCAGUCAUAUGUGAGCUGGCAAAACAUAACCGUUUGGUUCUAUAUCUAUUUGGGUGUGGUGAUAGAGCUGGCUAUCACAUCUGUACUGACCCAUGUGUUAGGUAAGCGACUGAGAUCAUACUGGGAAUGCAGCGAAAUGCUUAAGCUCAUCCCUGCUUAAAUGCAAACAUGAGCCACUUUGCAGUUUAAAUAAAGCGAUUAAUGUUGUGAUCAUAUCACAAAGACCUUUGAGUGGUCAGUAAAACUAGAAAAGUACUAUAUUAAUGCAAUUACACAUAAAUCUACUUAGGAGAAUAUGUUGAUUGCUGGUGCUGCAAUAUCACUUUGUAUCUCUUUACCAAGUGGUUUAUGAAAGCCAACACACAUAAUGUAUAACACAACAAAAAAUAUGGUCUGAGUCUGAAAUGCACAGCUGGUGGAUGCAUGAGUGGUACCCUAAUUGUGCUGACAGUUAUUUCUAUAUAAGCUGUAAGGAAUAAAGAAUAUAUGUAUUUUUUCAAAGUGUGUUCUUAUAUCUGCUACCUCAUAUAUUCAAGGAGCAACAGUAAUGUGAUUUCUGUAACUACAAUUUCUAGCUAAUUCACAUGAAUAACAGUAUGCUUUAUGUUUUGGCAGUUUAAUGCAAAAGCAAGGCUUUUUUCAAGUUCCCCCCCCCCACAGAACAAGGCCACUUGUACUGCAGCAGUACCAUGCUCAGGGUACUUGCAGGAACUUGUUAGGUCUUCUGGUGGAAACAUUUCUAACACCAAACCUUUGUGGUGAAAAACCCACAGAUGCUGUCAGUUUCAUAUACAGUGUCAUGCAUGUGAAAACAAAAAACUUUUUUUUUUUUCUUCCCCCCAUUAAAACCUUCAGUAAACCUAAAAAAAAUGCCAUGUUUUCAAUUUUAGUGUUUGGAACCAAGUGAGAAAAAGAACAAACACAACACUUAAGUAACUGUCACACUGUAAGAUACUAAAAUAAGUAGUUCCUCUCACGCGAGGUGCUAGAUGCUGCCACUGAAACAUAGACUGAAGUGCUGAAAUUUGAUUUCAGUACAGAAGCUUUGGUGAAUUAAUUACUUGUCUCCUUCUCUGGAUGUAGUCCUGUAAAGCGCUGCUGGGAUGUACCUCUCUGAGACACCAAUUAAUGGAUCCAUUCUCCAAACUGUUUCUUUGUGGAUGAGCUGCCAGCUAUGUGUCCUCAAGUACUGACUGGACUCUCACCUGAAUUCGUAAUUUAGGAAGCAUUCCCCCAACUGACACUUUUCGACUUAAUGCAAAAACUUUUUAGUGUCAAUUAGAUAAGUUAAUCAGCUGAAAAAAAUUUCCCGUACAAGGCGUAAGGCGUCGCUGUCCUCAGCUGCUGUCUGGGGUGAUUCAUGCGUCUUCCCAGCCUCCAAAUCCUCAACUGUUCCUGAAUGCCGACGCUCAGAUGUUUGAUGCUGCCGGCUGCUGGUGUACGGUAAUGUUUCUACCGCUGUAAUGUCCAAGUCUGAUUCUGAAACAUACGUCAAAUCCAGAUCUUCAGUGCAGUCUGAUGGGGACUCCUCUGCAGCAACUGGAUUCACUGUCAGCUGUGAAUUUGUGGAUUUCCCCAUCUUCUUAACUGUGUCCACUGCUUUUUGUUUACCCUGGGUGUGGGAGAAGGGGAGAUCAAGCAAAUAUUCCACGACAGUUAAGAGAGUAACCCACAUGUGAUGAUUAAGAGUUUAACUGCACACAGGAAUAUUGGAUAGAAUGGACUUUCACAUCAUUAUAUUGCACGUAUAGGGCAUGUAGGGAAAAAAAAAUCAAAGGUCUGAAAAGAGAAGCAGCACCACCUGCUGGUGAGUCACGAGUGUCAGCUCCUCACAUGAGCCGUUUGUGACAUAGGAAACAGCUGCUUCUACCAGCUCUUGCUCGUUCAUACAGUAGAAAGCAGACCUGGGAACAUAUAAGUGGAUUGGAUGAGAACAGGUUCACCCUGAACACAUGUGACAGCUGUGAAAUGGUCUGAAAAAGCUGUGGAGAACAUUGUGCAUCUAAAGGAAUCUAUACCAUUGACUGGUCUCCUCGUUUGCCUGACCUAAAUCCAACAGAACAUCUCUGGGACAUUAUGUUUUGCUACGUCCGACACCACCAGGUUGCAUCUCAAACUGUCCAGGAGCUCAGCGACGCCCCGGUCCACAUCUGGGAGGUGUUCCCCCAAGACACCAUCUGUUGUCUCAUUAGGAGCACUGACAUUAUCAGGCAUGCAUACAAGCACAUGGGGGCCAUACCAACUACUGAGUAACAUUUUUAUUUGCUGUGACUAGCCUGGUGCAUCAUUUUUUCACUUUCA